This 464-nucleotide ribosomal RNA is filed under the name Vreelandella stevensii. Its description in RNAcentral is "partial 16S ribosomal RNA". It matches the Rfam family "Bacterial small subunit ribosomal RNA", at positions 338 to 794 of the family's 1533-position model. The record is from RNAcentral. Lineage: Bacteria; Pseudomonadati; Pseudomonadota; Gammaproteobacteria; Oceanospirillales; Halomonadaceae.
CCUACGGGUGGCUGCAGUGGGGAAUAUUGGACAAUGGGGGCAACCCUGAUCCAGCCAUGCCGCGUGUGUGAAGAAGGCCCUCGGGUUGUAAAGCACUUUCAGUGAGGAAGAACGCCUGGUGGUUAAUACCCAUCAGGAAAGACAUCACUCACAGAAGAAGCACCGGCUAACUCCGUGCCAGCAGCCGCGGUAAUACGGAGGGUGCGAGCGUUAAUCGGAAUUACUGGGCGUAAAGCGCGCGUAGGUGGCUUGAUAAGCCGGUUGUGAAAGCCCCGGGCUCAACCUGGGAACGGCAUCCGGAACUGUCAAGCUAGAGUGCAGGAGAGGAAGGUAGAAUUCCCGGUGUAGCGGUGAAAUGCGUAGAGAUCGGGAGGAAUACCAGUGGCGAAGGCGGCCUUCUGGACUGACACUGACACUGAGGUGCGAAAGCGUGGGUAGCAAACAGGAUUAGAUACCCGGGUAGU